UACAGAGGUCUCAAGCGUUGUUCGGAUUCAUUGGGCGUAAAGGGUGUGUAGGUGGCGCGCUAAGUCGGGUGUGAAAUUUCGGAGCUUAACUCCGAAACUGCAUUCGAUACUGGCGUGCUUGAGGACUGGAGAGGAGACUGGAAUUUACGGUGUAGCAGUGAAAUGCGUAGAUAUCAGGAGGAACACCGGUGGCGAAGGCGCACAUCUGGCCCGAUACUGACGCUGAGGCGCGAAAGCUAGGGGAGCAAACGGG
This 253-nucleotide ribosomal RNA is filed under the name uncultured bacterium. RNAcentral describes it as "partial 16S ribosomal RNA". It matches the Rfam family "Bacterial small subunit ribosomal RNA", at positions 524 to 776 of the family's 1533-position model. The record is from RNAcentral.